RNAcentral lists this ribosomal RNA (1171 nucleotides) under Boophis boppa (Boppa's bright-eyed treefrog). RNAcentral's name for it is "partial 16S ribosomal RNA". It matches the Rfam family "Bacterial large subunit ribosomal RNA", at positions 695 to 2580 of the family's 2925-position model. Lineage: Eukaryota; Metazoa; Chordata; Amphibia; Anura; Mantellidae. The record is from RNAcentral.
AAGACUUUCAGUUUGACACCCCGAAACUAAGUGAGCUACUUUAAAAUAGCCCCCAGAGCCAAUCCGUCUCUGUUGCAAUAGAGUGGAGUAAUUUUUAAGUAGAGGUGAUAAACCUAUCGAACUUAGAGAUAGCUGGUUUUUUAAGAAAAGAAUUUUAGUUCAACCCUUAGUCUUAAAUUACAAAAAUAAUAAAAUUAGACUUAGGAGCUAUUCAAAUAAGGAACAACUUAUUUGAAUCAGGAUACAACCUAGGAUAUAGGGUAAGAUAAAUUAAAUUUUUAACAAGUAGGCCUAAAAGCAGCCAUCUUUAAAAAAGCGUCAAAGCUUAGUUCUAAAAAUUUUUUUAAUACCUACAACUUCUUCUAACCCUUAUUUACUAUUAAAAAAUACCAUAACAUUAUGGAAGCUAUUAUGCUAGAACAAGUAACAAGAAAAAGAUUUUUCUCCAAAAUGUAAGCUUAAGCCACAAUUAGACAAACUACCGGCAAUUAACGUUCGUAAACUAUUUUUAGCAACACCAACAAGAAAACACUACAUUUUUUUAAACGUCAACCUUACACUAGAGCAUUUAUGGAAAGAUUAAAAGAGUGGGAAGGAACUCGGCAAAUACUGAUCCCGCCUGUUUACCAAAAACAUCGCCUCUUGUUGCGAUAUAAGAGGUCCAGCCUGCCCAGUGACCAAAUUUAACGGCCGCGGUACUCUAACCGUGCAAAGGUAGCACAAUCACUUGUUCUUUAAAUGAGGACUAGAAUCAACGGCAUCACGAGGAUCUUACUGUCUCCCCCCUCUAAUCAGUGAAACUAAUCUCCCCGUGAAGAAGCGGGGAUAAAAAUAUAAGACGAGAAGACCCCAUGGAGCUUUAAACCCAAUAACACCCACUUAUUUUAUAUCUUCACAUUUAUAAGGAUAUGUUUAUUUGGUUUUAGGUUGGGGUGACCACGGAGUACAAAAUAACCUCCAUGAAAAAAAGAUUAAUAAUCUUUAUCAGAGAAAUACACCUCCAAGAAUUAAUAAAUUAAUUUCUAAUGAUCCGAUAUUCGAUCAACGAACCAAGUUACCCUGGGGAUAACAGCGCAAUCCAUCUCAAGAGCUCCUAUCGCCAGGUGGGUUUACGACCUCGAUGUUGGAUCAGGGUAUCCUAGUGGUGCAGCAGCUACUAAUGGUUCGUUGU